AAGUCGUAACAAGGUUUCCGUAGGUGAACCUGCGGAAGGAUCAUUAACACGUAUCCAAACGUUAAAACCCCCCCCGUGAACCUUCAUCCUGCUCUUGUAACCCGCGUAGUUCGCAAUCUCUGAUAAAUCAUAGUUUAAUGUGAAGCUCGAUGUAAUACAUUGGGUAAAAAAACCGAACAACUGUUAACAAUGGAUAUCUUGGUUCUC
This 207-nucleotide unclassified non-coding RNA is filed under the name fungal sp. RNAcentral's name for it is "partial internal transcribed spacer region". The stretch from base 1 to 46 matches the Rfam family "Eukaryotic small subunit ribosomal RNA", at positions 1786 to 1831 of the family's 1831-position model. The record is from RNAcentral. Lineage: Eukaryota; Fungi.